RNAcentral lists this ribosomal RNA (407 nucleotides) under uncultured bacterium. RNAcentral's name for it is "partial 16S ribosomal RNA". It matches the Rfam family "Bacterial small subunit ribosomal RNA", at positions 28 to 526 of the family's 1533-position model. The record is from RNAcentral.
GACGAACGCUGGCGGCGUGCUUAACACAUGCAAGUCGAACGAAGUGGCGAACGGGUGAGUAAUACGUGGGUAACCUGCCCUCCUUUUUGGGAUAAGCGUUGGAAACGGGGUCUAAUACCGAAUAAAGGGGGAUGGGCUCGCGGCCUGUCAGGUUGUUGGUGGGGUGAUGGCCUACCAAGGCGGUGACGGGUAGCCGGACUGAGAGGGAGACCGGCCACAUUGGGAGUGAGAUACGGCACAGACUCCUACGGGGGGGAGCGGUGGGGGAUGGGGCACAAUGGGCGAAAGCCUGAUGCAGCGACGCCGCGUGGGGGUUGAGGUCUUUCGGGUUGUAAACCUCGUUCGCUAGCGAACGGGUACGUGGAGAAAAAGCGCCGGCUAACUACGUGCAAGCAGCCGCGUAAUUC